GCUAAUAAAAGUUAUUGAAAGAUUAUUCUUAAUAAAAUAAUUAAAUUAGUUUUUGUGUAUAAAUUUUAAAUUAAUUAAUAUAAUAAUAAAAUUUAAGUAGAAUUAGUAUAAAUUAGAAUUUUUAUUUAUUUAUAAAAAAAUUAUAGAAAUAGAAAAUAUUAUUUAUAUAUUUAAAAUUUACCUUUUGUAUUAGGGUUUAUUAAAAUAAAAUAAAAUUUUAUUUUCUCGAAAUAAAUUGAUUUAAUUUAUUAUUAUAAUUAAUAUAUAAUUAUUAUUAUAAAUAAUGAAUUGGAAGUAAAAUAUUUUCAUAAUUUAAUAUCUAGUUAUUUUAUAAAUUAAUUAAAUUAAUAUUAUAAUAAAAAUAUUUUUGUAAAAAAUAAAUUAUAAUUAAUAAAUUAAGGGAUAAACUUUAAUUUAAAAUUAGAAUAAUUAAUAAUUAUUAUUUAAAAUAAUUUUAUAAUUAAAAAUAUUUAUAAAAAUUUAAUUUUUAAUAAUUAAUAUUUAAUAAAUAAAAUUUAUAACAUUAUCUAAUAAUUUAUAAAAUUAAAUAUAAAAUAUUAUAAGUAUUAAAAUAAUGAUAAAAUUAGUAAAAAAAAAAUAAUUAAAUUAAUAAAUUUUUUAUUUUAAUUUAAGGAAUUAGACAAAAAUUUUUAUUCAACUGUUUAUUAAAAACAUAGUUUUUUGAUUAUAAUAUAAAAUAUAAUCUGCUCCAUGAAAAAUAAUUUAAAUUAGCUGCAGUAUAUUAACUGUACAAAGGUAGCAUAAUCAUUUGUCUUUUUAAUAAGGUCUAGAAUGAAUGAUUUAAUGAAAUAAUAAUUGUCUCAAAUUAAUAAUUUAAAUUUAAUUUUAAGUAAAAAUUCUUAAAAAUAAAUAAAAGACGAGAAGACCCUAUAGAAUUUAAUUAAAUAAAUUUUAUUUAUUAUUAAAAUUAAAUUAUUAAUAAAUUUUAUAAAUUUUAUUGGGGAAGUAGAAGAAUUUAUAUAAAUUCUUUAAAUUUAUUUCAUAAAUAAAUGUAAAAAAAUAAAUUUUAUUAUAUUAAUAUUAAAAUAAAUUACCUUAGGGAUAACAGCAUAAUAAAUUUAAAUAGUUCAUAUUGAUAAAUUUGAUUAUGACCUCGAUGUUGAAUUAAGAUAAAUUUUAAAUGAAGAAAUUUUUAAAUUUAGUCUGUUCGACUAUUAAAAUCUUACAUGAUUUGAGUUUAGAUCGGUGUAAACCAGAUCGGAUUCUAUCUUUAUUUUUUUUAAUAUAUAUUUGUACGAAAGGACUUUAUAUAAAAAUAAAAUUUAAAAAAUUGAAUAAAAUUAAUUAUUUAAAUAAAAUUACUUUAUCAUAAAAGUGUUUAAAUUUAGAAUUUAAUUAU
RNAcentral lists this ribosomal RNA (1360 nucleotides) under Megaphragma amalphitanum. RNAcentral's name for it is "16S ribosomal RNA". Lineage: Eukaryota; Metazoa; Arthropoda; Insecta; Hymenoptera; Trichogrammatidae. The record is from RNAcentral.